UGUACUUUGUACCCAUGCUCACGUCUCUUCUCGCGAAAGUGUUAUUUUUCGCGCGUAUUUCUUUCCGCACAAUUCAUUCAGCAUCUAUCUCUCGACAAGAUUUUAGACUUCGGAUGCUCACGACUUCAUAACAUCUUGGAAAAGGCAAAGGAAUUUUCUGGGUUAUAUAAGUUUCUGGAUGGUUGUACAUUUCGGACGGAUUUUUCUUGAAAUUUGGUGAUUCGUUUUCGAAAUGAGAAAAAUAUAUUUUAAUCGUCGAUUUCAUCUCACGCAAAAAUAUGGAAUUUACUGGAGUGUGCGGACAAAUUUUGGACGAAUUUCCCGAAAUUUGGUGAUAUCGAUUCGUCUAUGAAACAAGAGAAGUGUAUUCCAAUCACUUUACAAAUAUGAAACAAGUGUGCAAGUGUGCAAGUGCAAGUGUUCGAGUAGUGUUUGUGAUAAACGAUUAAAAACAUUGAGGAAGUUUCCUGUAUUUUGGAGCUGACACGAGCGAUGGGUCCCCGCAUGUUUG
Molecule: long non-coding RNA, 511 nt
Organism: Nylanderia fulva
Lineage: Eukaryota; Metazoa; Arthropoda; Insecta; Hymenoptera; Formicidae
Source: RefSeq, a predicted model, not a curated record